AACGUAGGAGACAAACGUUAUCCGGAGUUACUGGGCGUAAAGGGCGUGUAGGCGGUUUGUUAAGUCUGGCGUGAAAGCUCUCGGCUAAACCGGGAGAGGUCGUUGGAUACUGGCAAACUAGAGGACGGUAGAGGCGAGUGGAAUUCCUGGUGUAGCGGUGAAAUGCGCAGAUAUCAGGAGGAACACCAAUGGCGAAGGCAGCUCGCUGGGACGGUACUGACGCUGAGACGCGAAAGCGUGGGGAGCAAACAGG
RNAcentral lists this ribosomal RNA (253 nucleotides) under uncultured bacterium. RNAcentral's name for it is "partial 16S ribosomal RNA". It matches the Rfam family "Bacterial small subunit ribosomal RNA", at positions 524 to 776 of the family's 1533-position model. The record is from RNAcentral.